UAACAGGUUUUUUUUAAAGCCACCCUGCUGUUAAAAUAAUUUAACU
Non-coding RNA from Cariama cristata (Red-legged seriema), 46 nucleotides. Lineage: Eukaryota; Metazoa; Chordata; Aves; Cariamiformes; Cariamidae. The record is from Rfam.